Molecule: transfer RNA, 39 nt
Filed under: Cranichis engelii
Lineage: Eukaryota; Viridiplantae; Streptophyta; Magnoliopsida; Asparagales; Orchidaceae
Description: partial transfer RNA-Leu
Source: RNAcentral
GACUUAAAAUCCGUCGAAUUGAAAAAUCGUGAGGGUUCA